This 503-nucleotide ribosomal RNA is filed under the name uncultured bacterium. RNAcentral's name for it is "partial 16S ribosomal RNA". It matches the Rfam family "Bacterial small subunit ribosomal RNA", at positions 30 to 523 of the family's 1533-position model. The record is from RNAcentral.
AUUGAACGCUGGCGGCAGGCUUAACACAUGCAAGUCGAGCGGGGUGAUGGUGCUUGCACUAUCACUUAGCGGCGGACGGGUGAGUAAUGCUUAGGAAUCUGCCUAUUAGUGGGGGACAACAUCUCGAAAGGGAUGCUAAUACCGCAUACGUCCUACGGGAGAAAGCAGGGGAUCACUUGUGACCUUGCGCUAAUAGAUGAGCCUAAGUCGGAUUAGCUAGUUGGUGGGGUAAAGGCCUACCAAGGCGACGAUCUGUAGCGGGUCUGAGAGGAUGAUCCGCCACACUGGGACUGAGACACGGCCCAGACUCCUACGGGAGGCAGCAGUAGGGAAUAUUGGACAAUGGGGGGAACCCUGAUCCAGCCAUGCCGCGUGUGUGAAGAAGGCCUUAUGGUUGUAAAGCACUUUAAGCGAGGAGGAGGCUCUUUUGGUUAAUACCCAAGAUGAGUGGACGUUACUCGCAGAAUAAGCACCGGCUAACUCUGUGCCAGCAGCCGCAGUAA